GGCAUGGUUGCUUAGUGGUUAGCACGUUUGCCUCGCACCUCCAGGGUUGGGGGAUCGAUUCCUGCCUCUGCCC
This is a non-coding RNA of Pangasianodon gigas (Mekong giant catfish), 73 nucleotides long. Lineage: Eukaryota; Metazoa; Chordata; Actinopteri; Siluriformes; Pangasiidae. The record is from the annotation of a GenBank genome assembly.